GUGAGACUGAGUAGCAUGAUCUACAGUCACAGUAAUCUGCAAGGGAUGGAAACAAACAAAAGUGGACAAACUGUGGGUGAACAACUUAAUUUAUAAACCUCCUACAAGCUGAAAGUCAAGCAAUUCCUUCUGAUAGAAAUCUUCAUCUCAACAUUUAACAGUGACACUUAGGACUUCCCUGCUUUCUCAUCUGACUUUUAUUCCCCUCAGCUUUUCAGCUGGAAUCCUCUGUGGGAUACAAGCCAUAGCAGACACAGGGAUCCACAGACAUAAACCUCUGCCAGCCAUGAACUCCAAAGCUCAUGAUGAUUUCUGGGGAAAGCAUCAAGGACAGCGUAUGCGUACAGAAAUAAUGUAGGUCCCUCCUAUGACAAAAUGCUGCGGGAAAUAUACUGACCAAUAAGAACCAUUAAGUAUUUGUUGAGCUGAUUUAGGAUUUUGUAAGGAAAGGGUGUGUACUAUGAUAUGUACUUUUGCCCACAUAAUUUCCUUUUCUCAGACAUGUCAUUUUAGAUUUUAAACUGACAGAAAAUAUUUACCAAUGCAAAGAAGCACACGCUGCUAAUCCAAGCAAGUGACCUUUGUCAGGAAACACUGUUUGGAAUGUCGGCACCCCAGUAAUGCCAGGAGGCUUCUAAUUCUCUGCAAACACAGAAAUGGAAUUAGAUAGCAUUCAUCUUCUUUUACCUUAAUUUCCUGUAUAAAUUUUUUACCCAUUUUAAGUUAUCACUCUUUAAACAUCCAUCUGGGGGGGGGAAAGCAUCAAAAGCCACAAAAUUUUCAAGCAAUAAAAAUAUCUUCCCACACUUUCCA
RNAcentral lists this long non-coding RNA (813 nucleotides) under Anas platyrhynchos platyrhynchos (common mallard). RNAcentral's name for it is "lncRNA (ENSAPLG00000023590.1)". The record is from RNAcentral. Lineage: Eukaryota; Metazoa; Chordata; Aves; Anseriformes; Anatidae.